CUGUUGUUGGGAGGGAUCAAGAAGUUCAUGGAGCAGUGUUGAAGCAGGAAAUGAAUGCGGGGACAUGGUGGAUGGACAGGAGCAUAGUUACUGGUUCGUUCCCUUUUUGGAACAGUGCUACUGGAAAGUAAUACAAGCAUUUUCUUUGGUGGAAGUCACUCGUGUUUUGUGUUCUGAGAUUCUGUGCGAUGUCGCGUUGUUUUCCAUUUCCACCACCAGGAUAUGAAAAGGCUAGGAGAGAUGAUGUGGACUUACUAAAAAAGGAAAAGGACAGAGAGAAGAAGCUGAAGAAAGAGAAGAAGAACAGAGAAAAGAAAGAAGGAAAGGAUAAAGAAAAAAGGGAAAAAGAUAGAACCGAUGGAAAGCAUAGGGAUAAGAAAGAGAAAAAAGAAAAGCAGAGAGACAAAAAGGAGAAGGACAGAGAUAAGGAUAGAGACAAAAUUAGUGCCUCAGAUGAGAAGAGGCUUCCAGGGAAAUCUGAGCAUAAAAAUGAAGAUAGAACCCCAGAUGAGAAGAAACUUCCUGGAAAAUCUGAUGUUAAUGGUGGAGAAAUAUUCAUCCAAAAGGAGAAGGAAAGGGGCGUAGAUAGAAAAAGUAUCUUAGGUGAAAAGAAAUUUGCUAGUCAGCUUUCAGGUUACGGUGAGAGGGUCUCUCAGAAUAGCCAUCUCACUGGGCAGCCAAAGGAGUCUAAUUUUGUACAGGAGGUUGACAGGAGGACCAGAGAUGAAGUCAGAGGUAGCAGGAAACAGUUGGUUGAG
Molecule: unclassified non-coding RNA, 758 nt
Filed under: Hevea brasiliensis (rubber tree)
Lineage: Eukaryota; Viridiplantae; Streptophyta; Magnoliopsida; Malpighiales; Euphorbiaceae
Source: RNAcentral